AUGUCCCAUCUUUUUCUCCCCCAUCUCCUUGUCAAGCAGAGAACUACUACCACGCAGCACACUCCCUCAACAUCUGCCGCUGUUUCUAAGGCCCCCCGCAGCUUGAUCCAGAUCGGUAUCGAGGCCACCACUGAGCCGCCUCCCCUCCUCCGUCCUCCACGCGCGCGCGCUCAGCGCCCGAUCCACCCCUUCCCCGUCCUCGCACACCCGCCGCCACCUCCUCCCUCGAUCCAGUCCUCUCCCCGGCCUUCUUUCCCUGAUCCAGUCCUUUACCCGCCGAUCCCACCCACCGCCGAUCUCGCAGCCCUCCUCACCACCGCCGCCGACCUCGUCCCUCCCUUCCCUCACCAUCUCUCCCUACCCUAUGCCCCAGAUCGAGUCGAGCAGGUCGACCGACGCGCUAGGGUUCCGUUUGGUCAGCUCCGCGCCGGCUCUCCGGUUGGCCGCCCGCCCGACGAUGGAUCUCCCGCCGCUCUCCCACCAGGCGCUCUUCAUGGCCGUCCCAGCGCUCCAUCUGGUGGGUCCGAGCGCUCCAUCCUUGAAAGGGAUGAUGGGGAUGACUACAUCCUCGACAGGGGCGACUACAUCCGCCAGGUCGUUCGCCAGGGCAGCGCGGCGGCGGUGUUGGCCAAGACGGGGGCGGCACCGGUGGAGCGCGUCAAGCUGCUGCUGCAGAACCAGGCUGAGAUGCUGCGCUGGGGCACCCUCACGCGGCCCUUCCGCAUGAUCACCGAUGCCUUCGCCCGCGUCCUCCCGCUUGCCGUCGCCAAGAUCCUCCGCGCCCUCGCGCUCCAGGAGACCCCCGACCUCCUCAUCCUCGGCAAGCAAGUUCUCAAAUCGGCCUCGAUUCACGCGUGCAGAGUGCUCCCUCCAGGUGAAGUUGCCCACCGCAGCGCCAAGGGAUUCGUCUCCGAGGACGAGUUCCUCUCCAUCCCGGAGUUCUCCACCAACCCGCUCUCCCAGAACCUGUACGCAAUCGAUCGGCAUAGGGAGUUUUACCACGGUUGA
This 1008-nucleotide ribosomal RNA is filed under the name Triticum aestivum (bread wheat). RNAcentral describes it as "partial small subunit ribosomal RNA". The record is from RNAcentral. Lineage: Eukaryota; Viridiplantae; Streptophyta; Magnoliopsida; Poales; Poaceae.